UACGUGGGGGGGCAAGCGUUGUCCGGAUUUAUUGGGCGUAAAGAGCUCGUCGGCGGUUCCGUAAGUCGUGAAGUCAAAUCUCUGGGCUCAACCCAGAAUCGCUUCCGAUACUGCGGUGACUGGAGUCCGGUAGGGGAGUGUGGAAUUCCUGGUGUAGCGGUGAAAUGCGCAGAUAUCAGGAGGAACACCAACAGCGAAGGCAGCACUCUGGGCCGGUACUGACGCUGAGGAGCGAAAGCAUGGGGAGCGAACAGG
Molecule: ribosomal RNA, 255 nt
Filed under: uncultured bacterium
Lineage: Bacteria
Description: partial 16S ribosomal RNA
Rfam family: Bacterial small subunit ribosomal RNA
Source: RNAcentral